GAGUGCAGCCCGUGAGUCCCUGGGCUGGAGAAAGCCGAAAUUUGGCCAUCCUGCAUUUUCGGAGUACAAACAUACCCAGUCCAAACUCAGAAUGAGCUGCAGCAACUGGAUAAAUCUACUGGGACCAUGAAGAAUUCAAGUGGUUAAUUUGGGUUAAAAGUCUCUCUGCAGGUGGAAUGCCUCCUGUCCCUCAAGUGGCUCAGCAGAUCAGCCAGGAGAAAAACCAACAGCAAAAUGGACCAAAUUUGUCAAAUCUGCUUAAUUCCUUACACAGCAGGAACCCAGCUCUGCCCCGGCAGGUACAACCAGCAGGAUGGGAUAAGAACCAUGUGCUUGUGCUCCCAGCUCCAGUUCCUCACAACAACAGGGAAUUUUGUCCAUCUGCCAUCUGGCAGAGUUUUUAA
RNAcentral lists this long non-coding RNA (404 nucleotides) under Junco hyemalis (dark-eyed junco). RNAcentral describes it as "lncRNA (ENSJHYG00000015401.1)". Lineage: Eukaryota; Metazoa; Chordata; Aves; Passeriformes; Passerellidae. The record is from RNAcentral.